Myotis lucifugus (little brown bat) is the source of this 2393-nucleotide RNA transcript. It is a transcript of the gene named RELT like 1, with no coding region annotated. The record is from RefSeq and is a predicted model, not a curated record. NCBI's taxonomy places the organism in Eukaryota, Metazoa, Chordata, Mammalia, Chiroptera, Vespertilionidae. The transcript has 9 exons.
ACCCACGCCUGGUGUAUGGAAUGUGUUAGUAAAAAGGAAUCAGUUACUUACUUUCCUAUGAGGAGCUUAACUGACACUCUGCUGGCCUGCCCAGACAUCCGGCUGCCCCGAUACAGUGGUGGCAGCCACACGCUGCACUCCAAAACAGAGACGACCCCGUCGCCCACUGACAGUGCUGGGAGUGGACACCCAGAAUAUAUUGCAUAUGUGCUUGUCCCCGUGUUCUUCAUCAUGGGGCUCUUUGGUGUCCUCAUCUGCCACCUGCUUAAGAAGAAAGGCUAUCGUUGUACUACAGAAGCUGAGCAAGAUGCGGAGGAGGAAAAGGUUGAAAAGAUAGAGUUGAAUGACAGUAUGAAUGAAAAUAGUGACACCGUGGGACGAAUUGUCAACUACAUCAUGAAGAAUGAAGCAAAUGCGGACGUGUUAAAGGCCAUGGUAGCAGAUAACAGCAUCGGUGAUCCUGAGAGCCCCGUGACCCCCAGCACUCCUGGGAGCCCUCCUGUGAGCCCCGGGCCCUUGUCACCAGGUGGCACGCCAGGGAAGCACAUCUGUGGCCACCAUCUGCACACAGUGGGCGGUGCUGUCGAGAGAGAUGUGUGUCAGCGGUGCAGACACAAGAGGUGGCACUUCAUAAAACAGAUCAACAAGUCCAAAGAAGGCCGCCCGAGGCGCCAAGGGGAGGUCACGGUCCUCUCUGUGGGCAGGUUUAGAGUUACGAAGGUGGAACACAAGUCCAAUCAGAAGGAGCGGAGAAGUUUGAUGUCGGUCAGUGGGACUGAGAGCGUCAAUGGGGAGGUGCCUGUGACCCCUCAGAAGAGAGAACGGAGAGGCACAGAGUAGCAGCGUGAUGAAAUCUCAUGCCGUCCUGCUCUGUUCUGCCCGGGACGUGAAUCAUCCCUCUGCCCAGCGUAUUCCGCACCCCGCCCAUUAGUCACUCGGCAGUCAUCUCCGUUACCAGAGGGACUGUCACGGUAUCGCAGAGCUUGUGUUCAGGAAUGACUCCAUUUGAAGAGUUCUAAGAGACUGAAAACUUACGCGAUACGAAGUUGUGCCCAAGGAAUGUUUUUAAUCUUUUGUACGAUUUCUAUCGUGGAAUCGGCAGGCAUAUGGAAGAAAGCCAAGAAGGGAAUAUUGUUGCUCUGCUGAAGACAGAAUUCAGUUGGCGUUGAAACAAGUUUUGAUUUAAAAAAGUCUCAUGAGAAAAUUAUCACAUUUCCAGGGAAGAAAAGAGCUCAUUUUUUUAUCUCCCCAACUGCCUUCAGCCACCACCCCAUGGUGUAUACACCACAGUUUUUUCCAGUCUGAUCACUCUGUACAGUGGAAGUAUUCGUGUACAGUCUGAGCUGAUGCUCUGUGUGUGUGUGCACUCAUUGUGUGUGUGUGCAUGUGCACACGUGUACUUCUGUUCCCCCAACUCUUACUUCUAUGUCACUACUGGUCGUAAGAAGAUUCUCUUACAGUUUAACUGCUGCAGAAGAUAAAGACGGCUCUGGUAGUGAAAGGUCCCUGAAGAUAACCUAGUUGGUCCUGAGAAAUGGAUCCCCAAGAGGCCCUGGAGUCAGACGCUGGAUACUGAGACUGAGAAUUCAGUGUUGACUCCUGCUACAUCAUGCCGCUCUUAGGUCACUUAUAAAAUAUUGGGAAGUUUUGUGUUUGUUUUUAUUUUAACGUGAGCUAAACAAGUCUUACUUAGUUUAUUCAAUAAAGGGGAAAGUGGUUUAAAGUAAAAAAAACAAAAAAAUUCUUGUUUUGACAACCCAAGUCCAAAUAAAAGGAAAAAUCUCCGCUUCUCAUGCCAGACGGGCCGCUUUCCCCUGGCCGUUUUCUUUAGUGCAUUGCUGGUUCCAUCUCGUAACUAAUGCUCGUUAUUUCAAAGAGUCGUGGUGGUUUUUCCCCUUUGGCUUGGAAACCCUGCUUUUUUCUUUGCCUUAGGGUUUAUGAAACACCUGGAAGAACUCAGAGGCCAAGAGAGUACAUUUACGGUAGGUCUGGGCCAAAGCCUGGCAGGGUCCACUUCCAGGGAGAGCUCCCAGGCCGCUGGGCGCUCGCUCUAUUUCAGAGGGAGAAAGCACAUUUCUCACUUGACUCCCAGGAGGUGAUUUCCAUUAAAAUGUAUUUAAAGUAUUUACUGUAAAUAUACUCAUUCCAUUCUGUUUCUGGCAUCAGACUAAACCUUCUAACCUUUUAAAUGAAUGGUAGGUUCAAUUUCAUGUGAAUUUUUACUGACAACUGAUUAAAAGGCGUACGUGUAUACAUAUAUCAACACAGUGGACUGGAGGAAGUCAGUGUGGAGGAAAUUUCACUGAGGUCCAGAAAGUAGCAAUAUAGGAAUUUGGGGGAUGUGAAUUAGCCUAAAUAUGUGUGAUCUAGACCAAUAGUUUUAGCUUUUUUUU